AUAGUAGACGAUUCAACAUCCCAGGGGUAGUGCGAUCACAUCCCAGGGUCGACGAUAGAAAGGUGACGGACCGCAGAGGCGGUAAUUAACGAUAAAGAAAGGGAGAGGCGAUACGAAACGCUGAAUCCAAUCGCCGGAGGACUCCACGUAGGAGGAAUUUUUUGCAAAUACA
This 172-nucleotide long non-coding RNA is filed under the name Polistes fuscatus (common paper wasp). RNAcentral's name for it is "uncharacterized LOC122521755". Lineage: Eukaryota; Metazoa; Arthropoda; Insecta; Hymenoptera; Vespidae. The record is from RNAcentral.